Molecule: ribosomal RNA, 506 nt
Filed under: uncultured bacterium
Lineage: Bacteria
Description: partial 16S ribosomal RNA
Rfam family: Bacterial small subunit ribosomal RNA
Source: RNAcentral
GAUGAACACUGGCUACAGGCUUAACACAUGCAAGUCGAGGGGUAACGAGAGGAAAGCUUGCUUUCCUUGUCGACGACCGGCGCACGGGUGAGUAACGCGCACCCAACCUGCCCCCAACUAAGGAAUAACCUUGCGAAAGUAAGACUAAUACCUUAUAAUUUCCUCAGAUGUCAUCUGACGAGGAAUAAAGAUUUAUCGGUUGUGGAUGGGGAUGCGUCUGAUUAGCUUGUUGGCGGGGUAACGGCCCACCAAGGCAACGAUCAGUAGGGGUUCUGAGAGGAAGGUCCCCCACAUUGGAACUGAGACACGGUCCAAACGCCUACGGGAGGCAGCAGUGAGGAAUAUUGGUCAAUGGGCGGAAGCCUGAACCAGCCAAGUAGCGUGCAGGAUGACGGCCCUAUGGGUUGUAAACUGCUUUUAUACAGGAAUAAAGUUAGCCACGUGUGGUUAUUUGUAGGUACUGUAUGAAUAAGGACCGGCUAAUUCCGUGCCAGCCGCCGCCGUAA